RNAcentral lists this ribosomal RNA (665 nucleotides) under bacterium IMCC8591. RNAcentral's name for it is "bacterial SSU rRNA". It matches the Rfam family "Bacterial small subunit ribosomal RNA", at positions 28 to 739 of the family's 1533-position model. The record is from RNAcentral.
AACGAACGCUGGCGGCAUGCCUAAUACAUGCAAGUCGAACGAGAUCUUCGGAUCUAGUGGCGCACGGGUGCGUAACGCGUGGGAAUCUGCCCUUGGGUUCGGAAUAACGUCGGGAAACUGACGCUAAUACCGGAUGAUGACGUAAGUCCAAAGAUUUAUCGCCCAGGGAUGAGCCCGCGUAGGAUUAGCUAGUUGGUGGGGUAAAGGCCUACCAAGGCGACGAUCCUUAGCUGGUCUGAGAGGAUGAUCAGCCACACUGGGACUGAGACACGGCCCAGACUCCUACGGGAGGCAGCAGUAGGGAAUAUUGGACAAUGGGGGCAACCCUGAUCCAGCAAUGCCGCGUGAGUGAUGAAGGCCUUAGGGUUGUAAAGCUCUUUUACCAGAGAUGAUAAUGACAGUAUCUGGGGAAUAAGCCCCGGCUAACUCCGUGCCAGCAGCCGCGGUAAUACGGAGGGGGCUAGCGUUGUUCGGAAUUACUGGGCGUAAAGCGCACGUAGGCGGCGAUUUAAGUCAGAGGUGAAAGCCCGGGGCUCAACCCCGGAACUGCCUUUGAGACUGGAUUGCUUGAAUCCGGGAGAGGUGAGUGGAAUUCCGAGUGUAGAGGUGAAAUUCGUAGAUAUUCGGAAGAACACCAGUGGCGAAGGCGGCUCACUGGACCGGCA